GUGGGGAAUCUUCCGCAAUGGACGAAAGUCUGACGGAGCAACGCCGCGUGAGUGAAGAAGGUUUUCGGAUCGUAAAGCUCUUUCGUUAGGGACGAACGUGCUCUUUGUGAAUAAUGAGGAGUAAUGACGGUACCUAAAUAAGAAGCCACGGCUAACUACGUGCCAGCAGCCGCGGUAAUACGUAGGUGGCAAGCGUUGUCCGGAAUUAUUGGGCGUAAAGCGCGCGCAGGCGGGAUAUCAAGUCUGUCUUAAAAGUGCGAGGCUCAACCUCGUGAGGGGACAGAAACUGGUAUACUUGAGUGUCGGAGAGGAAAGUGGAAUUCCAAGUGUAGCGGUGAAAUGCGUAGAGAUUUGGAAGAACACCAGUGGCGAAGGCGACUUUCUGGACGAUGUCUGACGCUGAGGCGCGAAAGCUAGGGGAGCGAACGGGAUUAGAUACCCGGGUAGUCC
This 450-nucleotide ribosomal RNA is filed under the name uncultured bacterium. RNAcentral describes it as "partial 16S ribosomal RNA". It matches the Rfam family "Bacterial small subunit ribosomal RNA", at positions 354 to 796 of the family's 1533-position model. The record is from RNAcentral.